AUAUGCUAGUUUAGGAUAUUCAUUUGAGACUUAUUUAACAUGAAUAAACUAGGCCCAUUUUAUAUCUUGGAGGAAUUAAAUUUUGGAUUAGUUGAGUAAUAAUCAACAUUAUUAGAACUAGUCAUGAUUAAUGACCAAUGUUUUUACCAUUUUUCUUUGUUCUUCUUUUCAAAGACAUUCAAAUCAAAAAGAUUAUUUUUUAUUAAUUUCUAAAAUUACCCAGGAGACAAAACAAAACAGUAGAAGAGGAAGGGAGAAAAAAGUGAGAGGCAGCAGGUUUCAGAUAGAUAUUAAAUUAUUAAUGCAGAUGGCAAAUUGUCUUAUCCUCUGCAAGGAGAUGAGAUAGCUUAGAUUCAUGAAAACUCAUUUUGGCAUGCAUACACGUGUGUGCACUCAUUCACAUAUACACACACAACAGAGAGAGAAAGAGAUUGAAAAUCAUUAUAGGUGAUUUGAACAGAGAGGAGGUGCAUAGGCAAAGUAAGUCCAUUCCAAGUAGUGAAGAAUUUCACUUGGCUUUUUACAAUUUCAUCAAGUUGUAUGCUUUUUAAUUGUUCAUCUGCCUUUGACAUAUGGUCAUGAAAGAGGAAGAGUUUAUUCUGUCAAAGAAAGAGACCUCACUUUGAGACAGAGGAGUCAGUUAGACAAUCUUUCUAUAAGGGUUUCUUUUUAUUUUAAUGCCUCUUUCAAAUAAACACUAUUGUUUAU
Molecule: long non-coding RNA, 708 nt
Filed under: Homo sapiens (human)
Lineage: Eukaryota; Metazoa; Chordata; Mammalia; Primates; Hominidae
Description: non-protein coding lnc-HECA-7:2
Source: RNAcentral